This 601-nucleotide ribosomal RNA is filed under the name uncultured bacterium. RNAcentral's name for it is "bacterial SSU rRNA". It matches the Rfam family "Bacterial small subunit ribosomal RNA", at positions 726 to 1331 of the family's 1533-position model. The record is from RNAcentral.
CUACAAGGCCUUUACUGACGCUAAAGCUCGAAGGUGCGGGUAUCGAACAGGAUUAGAUACCCUGGUAGUCCGCACGGUAAACGAUGGAUGCCCGCUGUUCGCGAUAGACUGUGAGCGGCCAAGAGAAAUCGUUAAGCAUCCCACCUGGGGAGUACGCCGGCAACGGUGAAACUCAAAGGAAUUGACGGGGGCCCGCACAAGCGGAGGAACAUGUGGUUUAAUUCGAUGAUACGCGAGGAACCUUACCCGGGCUUGAACUGCCAGCGAAGGAUACAGAGAUGUUGAGGCCCUUCGGGGCGCUGGUGGAGGUGCUGCAUGGUUGUCGUCAGCUCGUGCCGUGAGGUGUCGGCUUAAGUGCCAUAACGAGCGCAACCCUUUUCAUUAGUUGCCAUCAGGUAAUGCUGGGCACUCUGGUGAUACUGCCACCGUAAGGUGUGAGGAAGGUGGGGAUGACGUCAAAUCAGCACGGCCCUUACGUCCGGGGCUACACACGUGUUACAAUGGGUGGUACAGAAGGCAGGAUCAAUGCAAAUUGUUUCAAAUCUUAAAAGCCAUCCUCAGUUCGGAUUGGGGUCUGCAACCCGACCCCAUGAAGCUGGAU